GACGAACGCUGGCGGCGUGCUUAACACAUGCAAGUCGAACGGAAAGGCCCUGCUUUUGUGGGGUGCUCGAGUGGCGAACGGGUGAGUAACACGUGAGUAACCUGCCCUUGACUUUGGGAUAACUUCAGGAAACUGGGGCUAAUACCGGCUAGGAGCUCCUGCUGCAUGGUGGGGGUUGGAAAGUUUCGGCGGUUGGGGAUGGACUCGCGGCUUAUCAGCUUGUUGGUGGGGUAGUGGCUUACCCAGGCUUUGACGGGUAGCCGGCCUGAGAGGGUGACCGGGCACAAUGGGACUGAGAUACGGACCAGACUCCUACGGGAGGCAGCAGUGGAGAGUAUUACACAAUGGGCGGAAGCCUGAUGCAGCAACGCCGCGUGCGGGAUGACGGCCUUCGGGUUGUAAACCGCUUUCGCCUGUGACGAAGCGUGAGUGACGGUAAUGGGUAAAGAAGCACCGGCUAACUACGUG
Molecule: ribosomal RNA, 468 nt
Filed under: uncultured bacterium
Lineage: Bacteria
Description: partial 16S ribosomal RNA
Rfam family: Bacterial small subunit ribosomal RNA
Source: RNAcentral